UCAGUUCGGAUUGGAGUCUGCAACUCGCCUACAUGAAGCUGGAAUUGCUAGUAAUCACAGGUCAGCAUACUGUGGUGAAUACGUUCCCGGGCCUUGUACACACCGCCCGUCACACCAUGAGAGUUGAGAAUACCCGAAGUCCAUGUCAAAGUGGCCGAAGGUAGGCUUGAUGAUUGGGGUGAAGUCGUAACAAGGUACC
This 199-nucleotide ribosomal RNA is filed under the name uncultured bacterium. Its description in RNAcentral is "partial 16S ribosomal RNA". It matches the Rfam family "Bacterial small subunit ribosomal RNA", at positions 1288 to 1500 of the family's 1533-position model. The record is from RNAcentral.